GUGGCUGUAGCUCAGUUGGUUAGAGCGUCAGAUUGUGGUCCUGAAGGUCGCCGGUUCGAUCCCGGUCAGCCACC
This 74-nucleotide transfer RNA is filed under the name Flavobacteriaceae bacterium. RNAcentral's name for it is "tRNA-His". It matches the Rfam family "tRNA". From Rfam's summary of the family: Transfer RNA (tRNA) molecules are approximately 80 nucleotides in length. Their secondary structure includes four short double-helical elements and three loops (D, anti-codon, and T loops). Lineage: Bacteria; Pseudomonadati; Bacteroidota; Flavobacteriia; Flavobacteriales; Flavobacteriaceae. The record is from RNAcentral. RNAcentral also lists the same sequence under 1 other name.